RNAcentral lists this ribosomal RNA (253 nucleotides) under uncultured bacterium. RNAcentral's name for it is "partial 16S ribosomal RNA". It matches the Rfam family "Bacterial small subunit ribosomal RNA", at positions 524 to 776 of the family's 1533-position model. The record is from RNAcentral.
UACGAAGGGGGCUAGCGUUGUUCGGAAUCACUUGGCGUAAAGAGCACGUAGGCGGCGCGUUGAGUCAGGGGUGAAAUCCUGGGGCUCAACUCCAGAACUGCCUUUGAUACUGGCGCGCUCGAGUGUGGGAGAGGUUGGUGGAACUCCGAGUGUCGAGGUGAAAUUCGUAGAUAUUCGGAAGACCACCAGGGGCGAAGGCGGCCAACUGGCCCAUUAAUGACGCUGAGGUGCGAAAGCGUCAGGAGCAAACAUG